RNAcentral lists this microRNA (22 nucleotides) under JC polyomavirus. Its description in RNAcentral is "jcv-miR-J1-3p". Its record names the gene jcv-miR-J1-3p. The record is from miRBase by way of RNAcentral. Lineage: Floreoviria; Shotokuvirae; Cossaviricota; Papovaviricetes; Sepolyvirales; Polyomaviridae. RNAcentral also lists the same sequence under 1 other name.
UGCUUGAUCCAUGUCCAGAGUC